GUAUGGAGCAAGCGUUAUCCGGAUNNAUUGAGCGUAAAGCGUGUGUAGGCGGUNNGUUAAGUCUGAGAUGAAAGGCUAUGGCUCAACCAUAGUNUGUUUCAGAAACUGGCAGACUAGAGUGCAGUAGAGGCAAAUGGAAUNCAUAGUGUAGCGGUGGAAUGCGUAGAUAUUAUGAGGAACAUCAGUGGCGAAGGCGAUUUGCUGGGCUGUUACUGACGCUGAGACACGAAAGCGUGGGGAGCAAAUAGGAUUAGAUACCCUAGUAGUCCACGCUGUAAACGAUGAGCACUAAGUGUCGGGCAACCGGUGCUGAAGUUAACACAUUAAGUGCUCCGCCUGAGUAGU
Molecule: ribosomal RNA, 345 nt
Filed under: uncultured bacterium
Lineage: Bacteria
Description: bacterial SSU rRNA
Rfam family: Bacterial small subunit ribosomal RNA
Source: RNAcentral